RNAcentral lists this long non-coding RNA (240 nucleotides) under Elaeis guineensis (African oil palm). RNAcentral's name for it is "long non-coding RNA (EGUI_LNC019143)". Lineage: Eukaryota; Viridiplantae; Streptophyta; Magnoliopsida; Arecales; Arecaceae. The record is from RNAcentral.
CCCUCUCGUUUGAAAGAGAUGCACUCCAAAACUCCUCCCUAAAUUCAGAUAAAUUAUAGUCCCAGUCUUUCGCCUUUCACAUUCAACGAUCGUACCGGCGAGAAAGAUGGCGCUGGAGAUAUGCGCGAAAAAGCUAAUCCAGACCCGUACGUGCUGACUUGUGGCAGACCCAUUGACCACGGAGCAUGCUCCCCACGUGGAGGGGCUGUCCCAUCCCCCUCACUCCUCAAGUGGAUGCAU